Molecule: small RNA, 28 nt
Filed under: Bombyx mori (domestic silkworm)
Lineage: Eukaryota; Metazoa; Arthropoda; Insecta; Lepidoptera; Bombycidae
Description: ovarian small RNA-35194
Source: RNAcentral
UGGUGUUAAGUGCUUACUGGAGCCCAUA